CCAGAAGGAUGGAGCAGGAAGGAAAGGCGAGGUGGUAGGAAACCUGAGCACGUUUACAUAAAUGUUCAGCUCCUUCUGGGCUUGCCUAAUCCUCGUCCUUUGUAGUUUGCCUUUUACGAGGGUAAACAUGGUUUAAUAGUGAGCAAAUAUUCGUUCACAUAAUUAAAACCUGUUGUGUUGAACAGGAAACAUCCAAGGGAAAUCUGCAGGUGCCUGCAAGCAAGGGUGACUCUGGAAGGAUCUUGGUAUGUCGGUGCCUUCUCUCCCAAGGUGAUAUACGGAGGAGCAGAUGUGUUGCCUCUAGCAAGGCAAUAAUUCACUUCAUUAUUAUUGUUUGAUUUGCCUUGUGUGUGCUGUUCAUUGCUAACGGAGGCCUGCAAUGCUGUCCGUGGGAUCUGAAAUGUACAAGAACGGGUCAGAAGGCCUUGGGAGAACUGAAAAAGAAGUCAUUGCCCUGGCCUCAGUCACCUGGCCCCAGACAAAAUCACACCCUGUCAUCCAUGAAGAUUUGCAGACCAGCCCCCACUCAGCUGCUGUUUUGACCAUAGCCCUUGCUGCCCUAGGCUCUUACCCAUGGGACCGAGAACGUUAAUGUCUGAAAGAAGUUAGAAACUGAUACUGAAGAGCAGACCUGUGUUGGAAAGAACAUAGUUCAAGGGAGACUGGUGAAUGAAGAAGGGAAGAUCAAUGUGAUGGCUGGAGCUCUAGCUGCCACAUUGGACCAUGAAGUGAAUUCAAGAUGGAAGCCAUAUGCUAAGUAUGGCAGAAUAAAAAGACAGAGGAAACCUGGAACUUUGAUGACACUGUAGCUCCCAUACCAGCCAGAAUCCAGCCUUAUUUUGUAUGAGAGAGAAGUGAUUCUGAAGAGCAGUCUCCGUUGGGAACCCUGGAGCAGAUGCUAUCUAAGAUGCCUCGCGGGGCUCCAGUGUUCUCUGACUCCAAAGCCCCCUGAAGCAUAUUCUGCGCAGUUCCACGCAGUGCAGCCCAGAGGAGACGGCGGCCCUCACCGUGAAGCCCCGUGAGAGAGUCGGCGUGUAGCCCGGGAAGCAGCCAGCACGGCAGAGCGUGACUUGCGUGGCGUGGGGGAGAGGGCGCCGGGGCCGUGCCUGUUUCUUAGCUGGUUCUGCUCUGGAGCCAGUGAAUUGGCCUCGCCUGGGGCCAGCGGGACCUUGGCCCAGACGGUGACUGUCCACCGCCUUGUUCCCGACGGCCCGGUCCUUCUCGCCAUCGUGCUGUGGUGUGGAACACCCAGCACGCCUGCCCCGAGUCCGAGGAGCACGUCAGGAAUCCCACAAGUUGCGUCCUUGAGGCCGGCACCCUUCGCGUGAGAUUCUGAAUGCAGUCAUGUGUCUCCAGCUGUCCCAGAGUCACAAAAAGUCCCCGUUCUAAUGAGGAGCUGUGGAAUGCUAAGGCUAAAGCUGCCUGGAGCUCCUCUUUCACAAGUUUCAAUCAUGGGUUAAUGCUGACAUUCUUUGGCUUUCGUAAAUGGGGAGGAGCCUUCUGUGUU
Long non-coding RNA from Globicephala melas (long-finned pilot whale), 1507 nucleotides. RefSeq lists it as uncharacterized. The record is from RefSeq and is a predicted model, not a curated record. Lineage: Eukaryota; Metazoa; Chordata; Mammalia; Artiodactyla; Delphinidae.